This 498-nucleotide ribosomal RNA is filed under the name uncultured bacterium. Its description in RNAcentral is "partial 16S ribosomal RNA". It matches the Rfam family "Bacterial small subunit ribosomal RNA", at positions 30 to 523 of the family's 1533-position model. The record is from RNAcentral.
AUUGAACGCUGGCGGCAUGCCUUACACAUGCAAGUCGAACGGUAACAGGUCUUCGGAUGCUGACGAGUGGCGAACGGGUGAGUAAUACAUCGGAACGUGCCUAGUAGUGGGGGAUAACUACUCGAAAGAGUGGCUAAUACCGCAUGAGAUCUACGGAUGAAAGCAGGGGAUCGCAAGCCCUUGUGCUACUAGAGCGGCCGAUGGCAGAUUAGGUAGUUGGUGGGAUAAAAGCUUACCAAGCCGACGAUCUGUAGCUGGUCUGAGAGGACGAUCAGCCACACUGGGACUGAGACACGGCCCAGACUCCUACGGGAGGCAGCAGUGGGGAAUUUUGGACAAUGGGCGAAAGCCUGAUCCAGCAAUGCCGCGUGCAGGAUGAAGGCCUUCGGGUUGUAAACUGCUUUUGUACGGAACGAAAAGCCCCGGGUAAAUACCCUGGGGUCAUGACGGUACCGUAAGAAUAAGCACCGGCUAACUACGUGCCAGCAGCCGCGGUAA